RNAcentral lists this ribosomal RNA (253 nucleotides) under uncultured bacterium. Its description in RNAcentral is "partial 16S ribosomal RNA". It matches the Rfam family "Bacterial small subunit ribosomal RNA", at positions 524 to 776 of the family's 1533-position model. The record is from RNAcentral.
UACGGAGGGUGCAGGCGUUAUCCGGAUUCACUGGGUUUAAAGGGUGCGUAGGCGGGCAGGUAAGUCAGUGGUGAAAUCUCAGAGCUUAACUCUGAAACUGCCAUUGAUACUAUCUGUCUUGAAUUCUCUGGAGGUGAGCGGAAUAUGUCAUGUAGCGGUGAAAUGCUUAGAUAUGACAUAGAACACCCAUUGCGAAGGCAGCUCACUACGGAGUCAUUGACGCUGAGGCACGAAAGCGUGAGGAUCAAACAGG